Long non-coding RNA from Bubalus bubalis (water buffalo), 751 nucleotides. RefSeq lists it as uncharacterized. The record is from RefSeq and is a predicted model, not a curated record. NCBI's taxonomy places the organism in Eukaryota, Metazoa, Chordata, Mammalia, Artiodactyla, Bovidae. The transcript is spliced from 3 exons.
CGGGGCCGGCGGGAGGAAGGCAGAGACACCGACACACAGCAUCCCGUCCUGCUGGCCUGCUCUUCAGUUGGCAUGGAUUUGAAAUUACUCCUUUCCUCCCGAUUGAAUUCUGUACCACAUGCUCUCCAGUCCUUCCUAAUGAGUUUAAUGAAAAGGAAUUUCUGAAUGACUGGGUUGAGAAUCUAGCACCUGACCCCACAGAAACCCUUGUCCCAAGUCACUCCUGUUUAUCAACACUGUUCACCAACCACCACCACAACCCUUCACAAAGGAAGAAUCCUCACUGGAUGUGAUGCGGUUCAUUUCAUACAUUUACUCAACAAAUGUGUACUAAGAAGCCCUUCAAGUGGAACAGCUCUAGAUGAGCAAGUUGGUAGGGGAGAAAAAGACUGCCGAACGAGGUAUAAGGGUAAAAAUCAUUGAAGUUGUAGCAUUAGGAAUAUAACCUUCAGCCUUGGGAGACUCCAGAUGCUAAAGGAAGCAAGUCUGCUUUUCUCUAGUGCCACGGGCUAGGACAGACUGCUUUUGGUAAUGCAGCUGAUGAAGAUGAUGAGCUGAUGAUGGAGGAGACGGUGGUGACCAGCCAAAAGGUGAUCACUGGAGUGCGAACAAUUCCUUAUAUUUAGUUUAUUAUUUAACUGGCACACAAACCUGUUAAGUAGGAAACUGAGACUCGAAGAGGUUAAGUAAUACCUAGCAUUCAAUAAAUGGUAGAAUGUGGAUUCCAACUUCAGUCAUCUGUUUCCGAAGC